GUUUUUUCAAUCGCAAAAAUUAAAAGAACGCUUUAAAGAACUCCUUCUGCAUCUCCCAUCGCUCUUUGAUCGGUCACAACGACUAACAAUUAGGUCUCUAUUUAAGAGACGAGAAUUUUCAUGCUAUCGUACAGGCUUUGACACAGUGUCGACUCCGGUGGCAAACUCGCAACAGCCCAAAUCGAAUAGAAUCAAAACGGGAGCAGCUGCCAGCAAACGGCCACGAGGGCGUUAUCAGGAACAGCGGAAUCGAGGUCACAAGGGAGCACGAGAGAG
This 276-nucleotide unclassified non-coding RNA is filed under the name Bombus terrestris (buff-tailed bumblebee). RNAcentral describes it as "misc RNA ENSBTSG00005030102.1". Lineage: Eukaryota; Metazoa; Arthropoda; Insecta; Hymenoptera; Apidae. The record is from RNAcentral.